RNAcentral lists this ribosomal RNA (301 nucleotides) under uncultured bacterium. RNAcentral's name for it is "partial 16S ribosomal RNA". It matches the Rfam family "Bacterial small subunit ribosomal RNA", at positions 509 to 807 of the family's 1533-position model. The record is from RNAcentral.
CAGCAGCCGCGGGAAUACAGAGGGUGCGAGCGUUAAUCGGAUUUACUGGGCGUAAAGCGUGCGUAGGCGGCUUCUUAAGUCGGAUGUGAAAUCCCUGAGCUUAACUUAGGAAUUGCAUUCGAUACUGGGAAGCUAGAGUAUGGGAGAGGAUGGUAGAAUUCCAGGUGUAGCGGUGAAAUGCGUAGAGAUCUGGAGGAAUGCCGAUGGCGAAGGCAGCCAUCUGGCCUAAUACUGACGCUGAGGUACGAAAGCAUGGGGAGCAAACAGGAUUAGAUACCCCCGUAGUCCCUGUCUCUUAUAC